Molecule: ribosomal RNA, 111 nt
Filed under: Acanthosepion pharaonis
Lineage: Eukaryota; Metazoa; Mollusca; Cephalopoda; Sepiida; Sepiidae
Source: RNAcentral
CAGUCAUAUUGCAUUGAAACACUAGUUCCUGUAUGAUCACCAAAGUUAAGCAAUAUCGAGCCUGGUCAGUACCUAGAUGGGUGACCACUUGGGAAUACCAGGUGCUGUAAG